This 1071-nucleotide long non-coding RNA is filed under the name Anser cygnoides (Swan goose). RNAcentral describes it as "lncRNA (ENSACDG00005004383.1)". The record is from RNAcentral. Lineage: Eukaryota; Metazoa; Chordata; Aves; Anseriformes; Anatidae.
GAGGGAAGAGCCCUCCUGACUUGUAAUUUCACUUUAUUUUGCAGGAUUGCAAGGGUAAUAAAAACAGGAGAAAAAUGACGACAAACUGCUCCACUUCUAAUGACAUCAGGAGGUUUGAAUCUGACAUUGAUGGGAUACUUUGAGAAGCCACCAUCAAUUCUCUCAAUUCAACCUUCCUUUUUGCCUUCCCUCUGGACUCAGAACACAGGACUGAAGAGAAGAUGUAACAACAGCUCACUAUCACCUCAUCUUCAGUGAAGAGUCUGCAAAGGUGGAAUUUCUCCAAAAGCGAAUAUUCUCAGUUAUAUUUGAGUUGUUUGAUGUUCCCUUCCUUGUUUUCUCAACUGCAAUAGAAGUAACUGAACAUCAUACCACUAAAAUCACUGACUGUGAUAGCUUCAGCUGGAGUUUUCCAGAUGUGCCUGAGUAGACUGCUUUUGAUGGUCAUUCAUAACUGUCAACUUAAAUAACAAUAUCAAAAUAUUCUUGAGUGCUUUCUUUGUUGUGGAAACCAAAGAAUAUAUGUUAGGCAUUCCUCCAGAAGGGAGAGCCAAGGUGAGUCCUGCUUUCCUUAGCUGAUCUUUGUCUCUCUUGAAACUGCCAAGCCUGAGCUCAGUGAUACCUCAGUGAACUACCUUACUGUACACAGUCAAGGUGCUGUCAUUUGUUUAUAUCAUCUAAAUGACCUUCACAAUGAUUCUGUGCUUUUUGUUUUUUUGUUUGUUUGUAUUUUUGUUUUUUUAAGGAAAGGCUUUAUUUUCUUUUGAAGACAUAAUUUAGCAGCAACUUGUACCCAUCUCAUGCAACAGUGACACUGCUGCUUUGCUCCACUUGUGCAGGUGAUAUCUGAUUUCUUUCAACCUUAUGUGGAUUUUUUUGGCUAACAAACCAAUGAGAUUUGGACACUAUUAGUUGUAUCUCAAUUUCUGUCAUGACAAUACCAAUUUGUUGCUCUACUCAUGAUAACACUACCACUACACCUCGUGUUUCUGUUACCACUUACGUUUCUCACCCCUGUUUUCUCCAAGUUUGGUAAAUGAUGCAGAAGGAUAAAGCCUCUUUUUAGAGGAG